UAGGGAAUCUUCGGCAAUGGACGGAGGUCUGACCGAGCAACGCCGCGUGAGUGAAGAAGGUUUUCGGAUCGUAAAGCUCUGUUGUAAGAGAAGAACGAGUGUGAGAGUGGAAAGUUCACACUGUGACGGUAUCUUACCAGAAAGGGACGGCUAACUACGUGCCAGCAGCCGCGGUAAUACGUAGGUCCCGAGCGUUGUCCGGAUUUAUUGGGCGUAAAGCGAGCGCAGGCGGUUAGAUAAGUCUGAAGUUAAAGGCUGUGGCUUAACCAUAGUAGGCUUUGGAAACUGUUUAACCUGAGUGCAAGAGGGGAGAGUGGAAUUCCAUGUGUAGCGGUGAAAUGCGUAGAUAUAUGGAGGAACACCGGUGGCGAAAGCGGCUCUCUGGCUUGUAACUGACGCUGAGGCUCGAAAGCGUGGGGAGCAAACAGGAUUAGAUACCCUGGUAGUCCACGCUGUAAACGAUGAGUGCUAGGUGUUAGACCCUUUCCGGGGUUUAGUGCCGUAGCUAACGCAUUAAGCACUCCGCCUGGGGGAGUACGACCGCAAGGUUGA
This 552-nucleotide ribosomal RNA is filed under the name uncultured bacterium. Its description in RNAcentral is "bacterial SSU rRNA". It matches the Rfam family "Bacterial small subunit ribosomal RNA", at positions 355 to 897 of the family's 1533-position model. The record is from RNAcentral.